AUGAGCAAGAGUAAUCCAGAUAAAGUUCCAGGAACGACUACGCAUCGUUCCCCAUUUAAAGACAUAACGAACUCGUCUAUGAUUGAGAAUGCAAAUGUCACUACUAAUAGUCAAGAAGCAAAAAAGAAUACAUUGUAUGCCCGAAUGUCUGAUGAGAAGAGAGCAGCAUUCCUUGAAAAACGUCGUAUGUCCCGACAAGAAAAGAAGUCUCAGGCUCUGAAUAUUGUUAAUGGUCAACUAACAGUUGAGGCACAUGCUCCGUUAGGAUCCAAGGAAUGUACAUCUUUGAGAAGCAUAACCAACACACACACAAAUGCGGGAUCUGCCGCCUCCCUUGGACUUCGCCGGCAAGGCGUGAUCCGUCGUCGCCACCCCACUCUUCCCACGGGAGGAUGCGGCUGCUAUCAUCAACCUCCGCUCCAUGGGCGUACUCUCAAAUUCAAUAUGUUAGAUUUGCAGAGACUAAUGUUGCAUGACGCAAGAAGAAACAUGUGGUUCUGUUGCGAAUCACCACAGCGAUGCAGUAGGUUUCCAGAUUGA
Molecule: ribosomal RNA, 540 nt
Filed under: Triticum aestivum (bread wheat)
Lineage: Eukaryota; Viridiplantae; Streptophyta; Magnoliopsida; Poales; Poaceae
Description: partial small subunit ribosomal RNA
Source: RNAcentral